AGCCCAGACUCCUACGGGAGGCAGCAGUGGGGAAUAUUGCACAAUGGGGGAAACCCUGAUGCAGCGACGCCGCGUGAGCGAUGAAGUAUUUCGGUAUGUAAAGCUCUAUCAGCAGGGAAGAAGAUGACGGUACCUGACUAAGAAGCCCCGGCUAACUACGUGCCAGCAGCCGCGGUAAUACGUAGGGGGCAAGCGUUAUCCGGAUUUACUGGGUGUAGAGGGGGCGCAGACGGCAGCGCAAGCCAGGAGUGAAAGCCCGGGGCCCAACCCCGGGACUGCUCUUGGAACUGCGCGGCUGGAGUGCAGGAGGGGCAGGCGGAAUUCCUGGUGUAGCGGUGAAAUGCGUAGAUAUCAGGAGGAACACCGGUGGCGAAGGCGGCUUUCUGGACUGAAACUGACGCCGAGGCACGAAAGCGUGGGGAGCGAACAGGAUUAGAUACCCCAGUA
RNAcentral lists this ribosomal RNA (447 nucleotides) under uncultured bacterium. Its description in RNAcentral is "bacterial SSU rRNA". It matches the Rfam family "Bacterial small subunit ribosomal RNA", at positions 328 to 792 of the family's 1533-position model. The record is from RNAcentral.